Molecule: long non-coding RNA, 1702 nt
Organism: Psammomys obesus (fat sand rat)
Lineage: Eukaryota; Metazoa; Chordata; Mammalia; Rodentia; Muridae
Exons: 6
Source: RefSeq, a predicted model, not a curated record
GAGCCUAAGGAGAGGGAGGAGCUCGUGGGAUGACAGGAGGAAAGGGAUGCUAGCUUGCCCUGUUCAGUGGAAAGGAGAGAGAUACUGUACAUCCUAAGGAAGGUGGUCGUUGUGGCUCUUUAAAAUCGGAGGCUACCCUGUUGAAAACGAGCGAGCAUUCUGAAAAUCCCGAGGAAGAAGGUCGUCACGGCCCUUUCGUCUGAUUGGAAACUACCUGAGGGUUUCAUCCAUGAUGACCACAGAUUCCAGUGCACGAGCUGUAGUGAACACACUCAAACCAUACCCAUAUCAUAGGAGGGUUGCUCUUUGACAUGGAUAACAACAGCUUACGACAGAACUGGAGACGAGUGACCAGGCAGAGAAGUGGCUAAGAAGUUCAGAUGACGAAGGACUUGAGUAUAAUAACCAUAUUCCAGGAGCCUUCCUGGAUGUCUCUGAAAUGAGAAGGAAGGAAAUACAUAAAGGACUUGUUUCAAAGAAUGGCUGCAAAAACCUUCAAAGGCUCACAGCAAGUUGGGCAGGAACUGACCUCAUGAAGCCAGAAAGGCCCAAACAUGCCUGCUCCAGUUUAGACCUGAAGAAGCAGCAGCCCUUGGAGGAACUGAAUCCUCAAGGGCCGUCUUCUGACACAGCAUUCAGGAGCCAGCCAGAGAGAUGCCAUGUUGGGCUGCCUGGGCAUUGACAGCACACUCGUGGUUACUUUUCACCCCAUGCUUUUGACUGAAGACACGUAGAUGCCCUCUCACAUUGGACUUGUGACGGCUUUACAACCCUCUCUCCUUUCCUUUUUUUGUUUUGGUUUUGAAACUGGAUCUCACACUGUAGCCUUGGCCUGCCUGGGACUCACUGUCUAACUCAGGCUGGACUCAAACUUGCCACAGUGCUCCUGCCUCAGCCACCCAGGUGCUGGCGUUAUAGGUCUGAGCCAUCCCUCCUGGCUUUUGUUGAACCACUCUCGCUUUGCGCUUUAUGAGUCAAGCUUACUAAUCUUUUUGUCUUAGUUUGUGUCUGCCCAGGACAUUACUGUCCCUAAAAAACCUCCUUGUGUUUGCUGUUGGCGUCAUGAAUUACUACUCAGAAUAUCAGACGGGCUUUGCACGCGCUGGCCUCAGAUGUGUCCGGCACACUCUCAUAAACAUGGCGUAACGACUGUGCCCCUGUCAUCUUAGUGACUCGAUUCAGCAUCUGCUGGGCAGUUGGAAUAAAGAUGUCAGUCUCCUUUAUGUGUUGUCCAAACCUAUGUCAAACUGGAAUUCACAACUCAUUUCCCCAAACUUUUCCCUAAGUUUCUCCAUAGUGGAGAAUACUGAAUAAUGAUUGGGUUUGAAAUCUGGGGUCCCUCCUCCCCUCCCCCAGUUAAUGUACCAAAGUCCUAUGACUACAAUACGUGCAAAAACUGAGCUAAACUAUAAACCUGACUUUUUCCCUCUGACCACCUGAGUUUGGUCCCUCAAGGUUCACUGUGGAAAGAGUAGACCCAAUCCUAAAAGUUGUCUGCUGGCAUCCACACACACAAUAAUAAACAUAAAAUAAAAUUUAAACAAAGAUCUGGCUAGUUGUGUUUCAGACCUAUGAUGCUAGCUAGCACUCAGAAAACUGAGGCAGGAGGAUUGUUGUGAGUUCAAGGCCAGCCCAGGAUAUAUGGUGAGUUACAGGCUGAUGUGAUGUUAUGGGCUACAAUAUGAGACUCUUGUUUCAAAAA